UCUGUGAGCAGAUUCAUGACAGACCCAGGGCCUUGGAUGGAUCUGCCUGAGGGAAGACCAGACAGGUGUGACGCUGGUCUACAAGGAAGGCUAAUGUGGGUGAAGCACCAUCUUGGAGCUGAAGUUUGAGCCAUGGCCGCCGCCAUUGCUGCAGCCGGGGCUGGGGAGCCUCUGUCCCCCGAAGAGUUGCUCCUGAAAGCAGAGGCAGAGAAAGCAGAGGAGGAGCUGGAAGACGACGACGAUGACGAGCUAGAUGAGACCCUAUCGGAGAGACUCUGGGGUCUGCCGGAGAUGUUUCCCGAGAGGGUCCGGUCAGCCGCCAGAGCCACCUUUGAUCUCUCGCUCUUCGUGGCUCAGAAGAUGUACAGAUUUUCCAGGGCAGCUUUGUGGAUUGGGACCACUUCCUUCAUGAUCCUGGUUCUUCCUGUUGUCUUUGAGACAGAAAAGUUGCAAAUGGAGCAACAACAGCAACUGCAGCAACGGCAGAUACUUUUAGGGCCUAACACAGGGCUGUCAGGAGGAAUGCCAGGGGCUCUACCUCCACUUCCCGGAAAGAUCUAGAUUCUUACGUCCAUAUUUGUCCUUGUGUGAGAACUCUGAAAUUCAUUUGUGUUUGAAC
Grammomys surdaster is the source of this 619-nucleotide RNA transcript. It is a transcript of the gene named mitochondrial import receptor subunit TOM22 homolog pseudogene, with no coding region annotated. The transcript is spliced from 2 exons. The record is from RefSeq and is a predicted model, not a curated record. NCBI's taxonomy places the organism in Eukaryota, Metazoa, Chordata, Mammalia, Rodentia, Muridae.